Aegilops tauschii subsp. strangulata is the source of this 2496-nucleotide long non-coding RNA. RefSeq lists it as uncharacterized. The record is from RefSeq and is a predicted model, not a curated record. Lineage: Eukaryota; Viridiplantae; Streptophyta; Magnoliopsida; Poales; Poaceae.
AAUAUGUGUUGUUUGGGUUAUCCUCCGACCCUCCCCUACUUAGGUCUAACCUCCCCCUUAACGCCCCGUGCCCACCUCCUCCGCUCCAAAUAUCACGCCCCAAACAGCCAAAAGAAAAUCCACGAUCUCUGUCUUCCCCCGAUUACUCUCUCUCUCCCCUACGAUUACUCUCUCUCUCACCCCAGUUCCAUGACCUCCGACGCCGCCGCUCCCGCCGCCUCCGUCUUCGAGUUCGGCUAGGUCCGACAAGCUACAGCGGUGUCGCUCACCGGCCUGGCUCCCCGCAGUACUCUCCUCCGAUCCUCCGCCGCCGCGACGUCCUCUGCGCCCCUACAUCAACCCUAGGCGCCAUGGGUCGCCGGCGCGGCUCCUACAUCUCCUCACGUUUGUAGGCACACUACCCCGCAUCUCUGCACACACUGCUACCAGUUCGGGCUCGACAUUGCUGCUUCGCCUUGGCUACCUCAACUCCAACACCUGCGAUUCAGUUUCAGUAAGGCACUUCCCUCCUCUGCUCUUACCUGCUCUGGUUCUUUGUGUGUCAUGGCCAUCAUUCCACGUUUCAUUCUUUGCCGUCGAUCACGAUUUUGAUCUCCUUGACACCGCUAUACUGCCCCUACCACUACCGCUGCUUCCGCUGGAGCAGCAGGAACAACACCCCUCCAUUGGCAGGAGUCUACGGAUCUAUGGUCGUGCCGUUACUGUGAACUCCACCACCGUGUUUGUCAUACUAUUCGAUUUAGCUGCCGCUCCAAGGAUUGUAUCAUAACUUGCUGAUGGUUUCUUCGUUGCUGUGGUUCCUGGCUCAUUUGGAAUACUCACAUGACAUGGGUGACAACUGUGCUGCUACUUCCAACACCAUAUACCCCUCAAGCAGAACUUAAAUGUCCUUGCACAGGCUUACGAACUGAGUGCAUCAUUCUUUGUACUACCAAAAUUUACUACAUAUCCAUUCUGGGUUUGACUAUAAAUGUGCAAAUGGAUGUAUUGCUCAAAUUAAAAAAAAAUCCUUGUUCUAGUGUGGCUGUAUAUGUCAACGCUAUUCAGCUUUGGGGAAAGAUCAGGGGGCUACUACUUCUACAGAGAGAGGUACGACUGCAUGAUUCCCCAAGGCUUGAAAAAAUUAUGGGUGAUUUACUUGACAUAAUCUGCAAUGCUAUUAAAAAAACUUAGUUUGAAAAUUUUGUGUAUUCACUAUUCACUCUUCAAACUAUUAUAGUUGAUAUACAUCUAUAUGAAUCAGAGUGUCAAGAAAACACACUUGUUAGCAUUCAAUACGGUACCUGAUUUUUAGCUUCAUGCGAAUUAUUUUUUCUCUACUUUUAAGUAGUUCUAGAAAUUUUGGAAUCUCUGCAUUUAGAUUUAUUUUUCUGGAGAACUACAGCACCACGGAUGCAAAGAAAGAUGUGCUACUUGUCAAUGCAAAUAUUUUUUGGUUAGGUACCUCGAUGUAUAUUACUUUAUUUUUUCUUUUUAAGGUGUUUAACUCAAUUAACAUAUGGAUAGUUUGUUCAUAAUAAAACAAAGAUCAAAGGUGGUUGUUGUAUGUAAGCUAGUGCUCUGUUUUCUCCAGAGUUGAGUGAUACCGCUGGGCUGUAAAAGGUGUUUCGAACAAAUUAUGACAUAUCAAAGCCUUCAGACAUGACCACAUAUUUUAGAUUAUGAAACUAUUAUUAUCCUCCAGUGCUUGCUUCAAUUUUGGUGUUGCUUGCUUCAACUUGGGUGUCCAGAGAAGUGAAACCUCAAGUAAUGUGUCCACGGAAGCACUGUAUUGUAUAUGAAGUGAAACUUUCUCUACUGUAUGGGGAUGCAAGUGCAAGGAUCAAAUAAAUGUUCUUUUACAGAUAAGUUAUGAUCAGUUUAUAUUGUUUGGAAUCCAACAUGACUGAGCAACGUUUAUUAUUGCUUUUACUUUUUGCAAUAUGAAUAUUUGUUAUGGUUUUUUUUCCAAGGUUGGGAAAUUCAAACAAUGCAAUGAUGUUGCUCAUGCUACACUCCAAAGUACUGACCCAUAGUAUAAUAUUAGACUUGACAGUGUUAAUACUGAGUAUGAAUUCAUGGUAGUACGAGCUGAUACGACCACUCAAAAAGGUCUUUUUUUGCUCAUGUAGCAAGAUUAAUUAUUGGAUGCCCUAACCUUGUAUGUUGCCCUUUAAAUUUUACUACCAUAUUAACCUGUUGUCUCAUGGUAUUAGUGAUCUCAUUUCUUUGUUGUUGUAGAUUGGCAAGAUAAAUUGAUGACGCGUGACUCAGUUGUUGAUUGCAGGAUCCAGAAUGGGACUGCUACCAGAUAGUUUCAUAAUAUAUUUUAGAUUGUCAUUUUCAGGGUCAAUGUUUCAAACAUAAAGUUUUUGAAUGGCUGUGAUGUUGAUUGUAAGGUCGAGAAUAGUCUAUUACAUAUAGUUUCACAUCUUGUAAUCUUUGUAUCGCGUUCUCUGUAAUGCAACUGAAUCUAUUAACUAAACGAGUUAAUAUAUGCGACAUUUCUAGUUCUUA